RNAcentral lists this unclassified non-coding RNA (200 nucleotides) under Ascomycota sp. RNAcentral's name for it is "partial internal transcribed spacer 2". Lineage: Eukaryota; Fungi; Ascomycota. The record is from RNAcentral.
UUAAGUUCAGCGGGUAUCCCUACCUGAUCCGAGGUCAAGAGUUAAAAAAGGCUUCAUGGACGCAAGCGUUCCAGUCGAGAUUCGCAAAAUGUGCUGCGCUCCCAGGCUAGUACGCCGGCUGCCAAUUGCUUUGAGGCGAGUCCACGCAGAAAGCGGGACAAACACCCAACACCAAGCAGAGCUUGAAGGUACAAAUGACG